Molecule: unclassified non-coding RNA, 345 nt
Filed under: soil metagenome
Description: partial contains 5.8S ribosomal RNA, internal transcribed spacer 2, and large subunit ribosomal RNA
Rfam family: 5.8S ribosomal RNA (bases 1-120)
Source: RNAcentral
GAUGAAGAACGUAGCGAAAUGCGAUAAGUAAUGAGAAUUGCAGAAUUCAGUGAAUCAUCGAGUCUUUGAACGCACAUUGCGCCCCCUGGUAUUCCGGGGGGCAUGCCUGUCCGAGCGUCAUUGCUGCCCUCAAGCACGGCUUGUGUGUUGGGCCUCCGUCCUCCUCCCGGGGGACGGGCCCGAAAGGCAGCGGCGGCACCGCGUCCGGUCCUCGAGCGUAUGGGGCUUCGUCACCCGCUCUUGUAGGCCCGGCCGGCGCUUGCCGACACAUCAAUCUUUUUUCCAGGUUGACCUCGGAUCAGGUAGGGAUACCCGCUGAACUUAAGCAUAUCAAUAAGCGGAGGA